RNAcentral lists this unclassified non-coding RNA (246 nucleotides) under Hevea brasiliensis (rubber tree). The record is from RNAcentral. Lineage: Eukaryota; Viridiplantae; Streptophyta; Magnoliopsida; Malpighiales; Euphorbiaceae.
AAAGAAAUAGCUCAAAACCAAUAUCCAUCAAGAUUUGACAAUUAUAUAUGUUUUUUCUUGUUUAUUAUCUUUGAAAAUUUAGUUACAUUUGCAAUCUCAUUAAUCAAAUAACCCAUUAAUCAAACAACAUGCCUUCAAGUCUUCUAACAGAGUUUGCAACAAAAUGACACUUAAGCCAUGAUCUUCAAUAGAGUUUGCGAGAAAUCCAUCUUCUUUGGUUAUGCACAUGGAUGCAUCAAAGCUCAU